GCCUCUGCAGGUCCUGGUUAGGCCCCUCCUUCCCCUUGUGUGUGUGUUUCCUUUUUAGGAAGGAGUGACAGCAGACAGCAGCGGCAGGUGUAGACAGUUCUCAUCUGAGCAAUCAGCAGAAGUGGGAGCAGAUGUGCAGAACCAAUCAGUCCACCACUCCAUCACUUUAUAACCUGACUCUUCUCUUCAUUCUUUGUUGGAUCGUAAAAACCUAGACUGCUCCCAGAUUUGGACUCCUCGGACCCACCUACCGGCCUUCCCCCACCGUCAGGAUUAGUCACCCGGUUCAUUCUCCAACCAUUCCUCCGUCGACUACCAGCUCCUGUCCUCACCAGCCGUCGCCGCUGCAGCCGCACGUCCAUUCCUCCGUUCCAUCGUCGAGCCACAGCCAGCCAUCCCUCCUAGAUGCCAGCUGAGUACCCGUCCGAGCAGACUCCGUUAGUGUUUGUAGUUCUUAAAGAAUAAAAGUGCUAUAGUAGUUUUUUGUUUACAGGACCCCAGCUCAUAGUUAGAGUUCCAAUAGCCGUAAUGUUUAGCUUCCUAGUUGUUGGUUAUUCCACUUAAAACAUUUGAGUUUCUAGUUUGCGUGUCUUGUGUGACACUUUAGUUUGGGUGGCUUCCUUAAUAGGCCUUUUGUUUUCUGAACUUGCUAUAGAAAUUUGAGCUAGUGUAAGCUGUAGUUCUCCUGCCCAGGAAUUACCUGUUGUGGGUCCGCCAGCCACUAGAGGCAACAAUCAGUUCUAGUUAAAGUCGUUAUCCUGUUGUUCCGGUACUCCCGGUAUUUUGAGUUUCUCUGGGAAUUGUAGUUCGUUAUCCCUUGUUUUUGAAUAAAAGACUAUUACCGCAUAGUCUGACUCCAUCUCUUCCCUGCAUCUGAGCUUUUAAGAUAACAAAACCUAACACACUGACUUCAUUCUGGGGACAAUCAAAGUAGUAGAACAAGUUACCCAUUUAUCAUAAAGUUGGCAGUUUGAUCCCCAUUUACCAUUCUUUGGGCCUAGAGGUUGCUGCUUGUUUCAGCAGUGUUGAAUUUUUAAAACACCAUCAUCUUAAGAACAUCUGAUUUCCCUCCUAAAAGACAUACUUCCGUUAUGGUCAAUAUGCUGAUUCUGAUUAGAUGAUAAACCUAUGCAUAUAUUGGCUAAAAAAACCACCAGUAAACACCACAAAUGCUGCUGCCACAGUAAAUAAAUGGCCAACAUUAUCCCAUUUACUUUAGCAGACAAUGGUCCAGUAUAUACUACACCGAAUUGGGUGCAUGGGGAAGCUUUGAACCCUUAGUUAGGAACAUUGCUAAGGAAAAAACAUUACCUGACUGCAACCCACGAGUUACUCCAUGGUCCUACUCUGAGGACAUCUGGUGGGAGCUGGGAAUGUAGCUGCAAACACAAACAGUGCAGGACAAAAUAACCCAGUCUCCUAAAAAUUGCACUCUCAUACAAUUAAACAACUAAACUGUUUUCCCAAUGGUGUUUAGUGCAACAUCAUUUCGGGUGGGAACUUUUUUUAAGGAAUGAAGCACCAUAUUUAUGGACUGCUACAGAGCCAGGAAAAGAUGGUUGGGCUUAAAAGGUGAAUAAAUGGUUGAAUGAAGCCCACACCUCAGGUAAAUGUCUUAAGUUACAGAGGAUUUUUUUUUUUCUAAUUAAACCAAACCACAUCUAUGGAAGCAGAUAGUGUACUGCAUGGUCAGGUAUUUUAGUGGACAAAAUAUGCUGUGAGUGCAUUGUGUUUGUCAGAUAUUUGCCAAACUGGAGUUUCCCCUUAACAUUUCAAGUUGACAUAAUAUUUCCUUGCAGACAUCAAAACAUAUCUGCUGUUGCAAUUUAACUGUAUGGGAGUGCAAUUUCUCCAAGUCAAGGUUGCAAUACAUGUGUAUGGGAGAAAGCCAGCGCCAUUUUUUUUCCUCUCCAAUAUGUUACAUGGAUCUUUGUUUCAGCAGCCUGUGGCGAUAUUUUUUCUCUGCUGUCAGAAUCUGAGCAAGAACAGAAUAUGAGAGAAGAGAUUGGAAACAUCACAGAUAGUGUGACAGUGAGAAUGAAUAAGAAUGGAGGAGGAAGUAGGACACAGGAAGGAAUUAUGAAGUUUAAAAAAUGGAUAUGUAUGCUUCCCCCAGUGCAUAAUUUGUUCUUCAGGACGUUUUUUUCUUUCCUUUUUUUUGAAGGAGGGGUGGUGUUGGGGAGGGUUCAGGUGUGGCUCUGCCUGGACAAGCGAGGAUAAUCAGAGCAGAGAUGCAGAAACUCUAAGUGAACUUUGCAAAGUCUACCAGGCUCAUUCAAUACAAGCAGGAGCUUAGGGAGAGCAAGGGAGGCACACAUUGUUGUUCUGGAUUUACCAUGCAAAUGUUUUUAGUCAUGCAUGGAUUAAGAACAAUAAAAGCCACUUUAACACCGGAGACCUCAGUUUAAAAUGUUUUCAUGCCUGGCAGACUCAGCUCGACUCUUAAGAAGGUACAGCAAAGUGGGUGUCAGCAAUGAUUAUGUUGCCCUAGAGUGAUCUAUAAUGGAAACACUCUCAAGAUAGAUGGGGAGGUUCACCUUUCCAGGCAAAAACACCUCCUCCUGGCUGAUUUUUAUUAUGCGAAAAGAAUAAAAUAGAGGUUAGAAUUUCAAGUUGUUUUUUUUUUUUUUUUUUUUGACUUUGAUGACCUCCAACCAAAGACCUUUUAUUUCUUCUGGUCUUUCUAUACAUAGAUGCGUUCAGAAAGGUGAGGGAACAUCAUUCCCUUUGCACCUUGAGGUCCUAUGACUCAGACCUACUUCAUAAUAAUUUAUGUUUUCAUUGGAAAGGAAAUGUUCAUCAUCCCCGGAGCUUUCACAUACAUGGAGUCACUGUUCCCUCUAAGCUGCGCGCGUGCGCAAUUGCGCACUGCUGACACGGUCUCCGCGCACAGAAAAUCUGCGCUGCACAAAAAAAAAAUCCAGCCUAAAUUGUAAAUAAAAUAAACACGUAACAAUUCAUUCUGUGCUAUUUUUCAAUGUGAGUCAGUGAGUGAGCGGUGACUGGCUGCUGCAGCCAAUGAUGCGAUUCACAUACGUAUUUACCAUAGACUGUAUAUUAUGGUAUUUACGCAGCUAAUCAACGUCAGGCGUCCUUAUGUGCAGCUACCGUUGUUCUCAUAGAUAUGAAUGAGUAGAUAGGACACGCCCCUUUGAGCUGCGUGCUACAGCGAGGCUAAGCUAGUGGGGGAAAAGUUUCAGUGCAUUCCGUUGAUGUAGACGGCGUGAAAACGGAAACAAGUAUGCCGUCUCACUGUGCUGCAUACAGUUACACACUACGUCGUACGAUUGAGACAAGGAAACUUGGAAUGACUUUUCAUAGGUUUCCCAGAGACUAUGGGUUGAGGAGGAAGUGGAAGUUUGUCGGCUUAGACCUGGUGUCAUUCCAUCAGUGUUAAACUUCCCGGCUCAUCUUGGAAGAGUACGUGCCAGAAAGACCACGACCAAGCAGCCUUGAGAUCUUAGGCAGCGUCUCCCUGAGGUCCCUCUCUAUCUCCCCACACAUCCACCAACCACUGGAACACAUCUCCAAAGUUCUGCUGGACCAGCUCAGCUUCCCCUCAGAAGAAGUGCUGCCACCUGCCAGAUGAAGGAGCCUUUUGAGAGGCAGCUGGCAUCGUGAUUGGACUGUACUUUGGUCUGUUCCAAUCCAGCUUCAGCUCCAGAGACGGCAGGCAGGACGAGUCAACGGAGGCCGGGUGGACGAAGGCAUGCAGCUGAGUACAAUCCAGAAAACAACAGAAGAGGAGUGCAGAGCCAGAACAACCAGAGUAGCAUCGUAUGUACAUCAUAGUACAGCCUUUGGUAUGAAAAAACGACAUCAUAUACAUUGUAUAUUGUACAUAUAACAAGUCAAAGGAAAGAGACAUACAUUGUAGAAUUGUAGUAAUUGUGGGCUGACUGAUUUACUGAUUAUCAGUAUUUUAUUUUUUACUGAUUUACGGUAAUACAUUUAAAAAUGGUGCUACUUUGGCUCUGAACCUUUAUCUACCUGUGGUCGCUCUGUCUUCUGGAGUGAUUUGAUUGGUUAUACGUCACGAAUAAAACUCCUUUAACUUAACAUCUGUAAACAAAACAAAAACGUAUCAACAAAGUUUUCUGUUAGAGUUUGUGUUCUUGUAAGUUUAACUCCAAGAUUUUAAAUACUUUCAUUUACUGCAAAUGAAUAUCUACUCCAAAUGUCUCACUAAUAAUCAUUAUCAGCCUUAAAAACCCACAAAACACCCCUCUGUACUCGACCACACUUAGUACAGUCCGGUUCCCCCUUCUAUAAAUCUGCUUGGAAUCUUCCACUUCCUGUUUGUCAAAGUGGCCUUCUACCUGGACAGGUUUUGUUGGAGCUCAUGCAACAAACAUUUUGGGUAACUGCACUUUAAUAUGGAUGGAUGACACUGAAUUAGAGUCUGUUUUAAUGAAACUGAGUUAAGAUGUGUAGCUCUGUCAUUAAAUAGGAAAUUAUUUCUCAGAAUUCAUAGAGAAAAGUCUGAAAUGUUUGCUAGGUUAGCGUCCCACAUGUUCUUUGGCUCAGCUAAAGCUAACUCUCUCCAGCUUCUGGAUCUCUUGAGUUGCUUGUUAAAAUAUCUUGCUAGAGGUGCUGAAGCUCAGAAAGUCUGAGAUGUUUGUUCAAAAUAAGCUCAUUCUCAAGCCUGAUCUGAACUGUCCUCUUUUGUUUGAACUUUCCCUAAACUUAGGAGUUAAUGACAGAGCAGCACAUCCAGACUCAGUCUCAUUUAUGUAGAGAUUAAACUUCAGUGUCAUUCAUUGAUGUUAAAGUGCAGUUUUUCAAAUGUUUGUUGCACAUGCUCCCGACCAAACCAGUCCAGGUGGAAGAUGAUGUGAAGAGAAAGCUCCAGAGGAUGAAUAUCACACAUUUACGUUGGAAAUAAAUGUCCUUUAAUUAGACAUUGUCAUGCAAAAGUUGGAUUUCCCUUUAAUGAUGUUCAAAUCUUUGUUGAGUGUUUUGUUGAUGUUGGUUUCUAAAUGUUUUCUGACACUUGGCCCCAAAGAUUAAAACCUUUUACGGCUCACAAGCUGCAACAAUUUACACAUUAUCAAAUAUCUUUCUGACUAAACUAAGAUAAAAAGUGAAAAACUGCCUCUUUGUGGUUUUUAUGACAGUAAACUGAAUAUAUUUGGGUUUGACAUUUUAUAAACCAAAACAAGAAAUUAAUUACUGGAGAAAACAACAGAUUAAUGGACAAAGAAAAUGUGUUUUCCAACAUAUAUGGCUGAAUUACUCCAACAUUACAAGAUACAUACAAUUUGAAUUCAAUUUUAUUCAUAUAACACCAGUUACAGGUCAAAUUGUCUCAAGACACUUUAUUUUUAUAUUUUUUGUCAUAUUUAAAAUGUGACAGAGUAAGAAAUUUAAACCUCUUGACUGAUCCAAUUUAUUAUUUGGUUUUUAAGAGACUAAUCGACAGCUAAAAUAACUUUCUCCCCUAAAACUAAUAAACAUGAGGUCAAAUAGAAAGAACAGUUUUAAAUACUGCAGUCCCACGAUGACAAGAAUAAAGUUUGUCAACAAAAAUUAAAUCUGCAGGUGGAUUCCAUUAAAGUCCUAAUAAAUGAUAACAAAGUGUGAUACUAAAGGUUUGUGGUGCUAAAAAUGUCAAAGUAAAGAUAUCAAGUUGAACAUCUGGAUGGAGGUUGAUAAAAGUUUACCUCCCUUCAUUUCUCUGGAGCGACUCCAUGGAUUUUAUGGAUGGUGGUUAAAGACCUGCUCUUCUAGUCGUCUUCCUUCUAGUCGCUGUAAAAAGUCAGUCCAUCCUGGCCGACUUCAACACCUCUUCAUGACAGCUUGUUCUGCCUCCGACCUGGUGGAAACUCCAGAAACUCGGGAAAACCCGUCGAGACUCGAAGAACUCGUGGAGACUCGAAGAACUCGU
Molecule: long non-coding RNA, 5887 nt
Organism: Amphiprion ocellaris (clown anemonefish)
Lineage: Eukaryota; Metazoa; Chordata; Actinopteri; Pomacentridae
Exons: 4
Source: RefSeq, a predicted model, not a curated record